RNAcentral lists this unclassified non-coding RNA (147 nucleotides) under uncultured fungus. RNAcentral's name for it is "sequence contains ITS1". Lineage: Eukaryota; Fungi. The record is from RNAcentral.
UUAAUGUUUUGUAUUGAUUCAGACACAAACUAUUCUGCAUAAAUGCGGCGCCGGAGCGCCGAAGCACAUUUUGCUUCCACAGGUUUGAAGGUUGAAGGCCUCAUUGGCCAUUCAGUAAUGAUCCCUCCGCAGGUUCACCUACGGAGA